GGGAUUCCCUAGUACGGCGAGUGAAGCGGGAAGAGCUCAAAUUUGAAAUCUGGUAGCCUUCGGCUGCCCGAGUUGUAAUCUAGAGAAGUGUUUUCCGUGCCGGCCCAUGUACAAGUCCCUUGGAACAGGGCGUCAUAGAGGGUGAGAAUCCCGUCCUUGACAUGGACCCCCGGUGCUUUGUGAUACACUUUCAACGAGUCGAGUUGUUUGGGAAUGCAGCUCAAAAUGGGUGGUGAAUUCCAUCUAAAGCUAAAUAUUGGCGAGAGACCGAUAGCGAACAAGUACCGUGAGGGAAAGAUGAAAAGCACUUUGGAAAGAGAGUUAAACAGUACGUGAAAUUGUUGAAAGGGAAACGAUUGAAGUCAGUCAUGCUCUUUGGAUUCAGCCGUUCUGCGGUGUAUUUCCAUUGAGUGGGGUCAACAUCAGUUUUGACCGCUGGAUAAAGGCACUAGGAAGGUAGCACUCUCGGGUGAACUUAUAGCCUAGCGUCAUAUACAGUGGUUGGGACUGAGGAACGCAGCAUGCCUUUAUGGCCGGGAUUCGUCCACGUACAUGCUUAGGAUGUUGACAUAAUGGCUUUAAACGAC
RNAcentral lists this ribosomal RNA (587 nucleotides) under Naganishia uzbekistanensis. RNAcentral describes it as "partial large subunit ribosomal RNA". It matches the Rfam family "Eukaryotic large subunit ribosomal RNA", at positions 71 to 648 of the family's 3401-position model. The record is from RNAcentral. Lineage: Eukaryota; Fungi; Basidiomycota; Tremellomycetes; Filobasidiales; Filobasidiaceae.